This 236-nucleotide non-coding RNA is filed under the name Sphingobacteriales bacterium. Lineage: Bacteria; Pseudomonadati; Bacteroidota; Sphingobacteriia; Sphingobacteriales. The record is from RNAcentral.
UUGAAAAUAAUUCGGGUUGGCGCUGGUAACAACUAGUCAUAUUGUUAUCAAGCUUAAUAGGGAACCGUGUGAGAAUCACGGGCUGACGGGCAACUGUAUGUUUUCCAGCACUCCGGGAGCGCCCGCUCCCCUGCUGAAAGCUGCACGUUAGACCACUGUUCCGGUUCAAAACCGGGAUGGGAAGGUGUGAAGCAAGAAAAACAAGCCAGGAGACCUGCCACUCAGAAUUAUUUGUC